RNAcentral lists this ribosomal RNA (303 nucleotides) under uncultured bacterium. Its description in RNAcentral is "partial 16S ribosomal RNA". It matches the Rfam family "Bacterial small subunit ribosomal RNA", at positions 507 to 807 of the family's 1533-position model. The record is from RNAcentral.
AGCAGCAGCCGCGGGAAUACGGAGGGGGCUAGCGUUGUUCGGAAUUACUGGGCGUAAAGCGCACGUAGGCGGUUUUGUAAGUCAGGGGUGAAAGCCCGGAGCUCAACUCCGGAACUGCCUUUGAGACUGCAUCACUUGAACGUCGGAGAGGUGAGUGGAAUUCCGAGUGUAGAGGUGAAAUUCGUAGAUAUUCGGAAGAACACCAGUGGCGAAGGCGGCUCACUGGACGACUGUUGACGCUGAGGUGCGAAAGCGUGGGGAGCAAACAGGAUUAGAUACCCCCGUAGUCCCUGUCUCUUAUAC